RNAcentral lists this small RNA (641 nucleotides) under Cryptococcus neoformans H99. Its description in RNAcentral is "Cryptococcus neoformans var. grubii H99 hypothetical RNA". The record is from RNAcentral. Lineage: Eukaryota; Fungi; Basidiomycota; Tremellomycetes; Tremellales; Cryptococcaceae.
CGACGAUUGAAGAGUAAACUUACACACAAAAAAGAACACGGUCAACGCUACACGAGUCUAUAAUGAUGGUCAUUUACCACUUGGUUCUAUCAUCUUCUUCCACCGGAUCCUCCCCUUGUAGCAGCGUCCUUCGAUCGCCUAAAUUUUACUGAUAAAGGAGAACGAGGAGACUUAUUCUGUCUAUCUGUACUUCCGCCGCUGGUAGCGUGUCGUCGAGGUGGUGGCGGGAUAGGAGCUAAAACGAAUGGACGGUGACGGAUAGGUCCGUUAGGCGGUGAAUGACGGGAAGGGGGAUGGGGAUGGGCAUGUUGAGAGUGACAGACCCCCUAUGCGAUUGGAGAAGAUGAGCUUUUGCGUGUUUGGGGAAGUGAAGCAGUUCGAAGGGUUGGAGGCUUACCAUGGUCUGCAAAGAAUUUUGGAAUAAAGACUGUUGCAAGGGUGUUACGAAGGAGUAACUAAUGCGAGUUUUUGGUGGAUAGAUAUAUCAAUGGAUGGCGUUGCUCUCUGCUGUCCCGUAUAGGCUAAGAUCGAUGCUGAGAAUGUUCUUAUUAUAUCAAUGGUGCCAAAGAGGUAUAAAGUACGGUCGUGUAUUUUCCUUUAAAUUGCUCGUUCCCAGGGUUAUAUAUAUGCAUGCAUUUCGG